CGACCGGCGCACGGGUGAGUAACACGUAUGCAACCUGCCCUCUUCAGGGGGACAACCUUCCGAAAGGGAGGCUAAUCCCGCGUAUAUCGGUUUCGGGCANCCGUUAGAUCGAGGAAAGAUUCAUCGGAAGAGGAUGGGCAUGCGGCGCAUUAGCUAGACGGCGGGGUAACGGCCCACCGUGGCGACGAUGCGUAGGGGUUCUGAGAGGGAGGUCCCCCACACUGGUACUGAGACACGGACCAGACUCCUACGGGAGGCAGCAG
Molecule: ribosomal RNA, 263 nt
Filed under: uncultured bacterium
Lineage: Bacteria
Description: partial 16S ribosomal RNA
Rfam family: Bacterial small subunit ribosomal RNA
Source: RNAcentral